Perca fluviatilis (European perch) is the source of this 745-nucleotide long non-coding RNA. RefSeq lists it as uncharacterized. The transcript has 4 exons. The record is from RefSeq and is a predicted model, not a curated record. Lineage: Eukaryota; Metazoa; Chordata; Actinopteri; Perciformes; Percidae.
UUGUCAACCCAGUUUCUGGGUUAUUUGUGUUGGGUUAAAAUUAUGGGUUAUUUUUUCAAAGAGUAACCCACUUUCUGGGUUAUAGGGCUAAUAUUUGACCCAUUGCCUGGGUUGUUUGGGUUUCUGGGUUAUUUUUCAAAGAGUAACCCAUGUUCUGGGUUAUAGGCUUGGCGCUCUCUCUCUCUCUACAAUGUAUUUUUCGGUUAGUUGUCUUGACAUCGGACCAGCCUAUUUUCUCCUCUAAACGACACUUUGGUUCCUGGGGCAGGGAGGCGAGUCUGAAAGAAGAAAAAUAGCCCUCAGCCUCAGCAGCAUCAGCCUCCUCCUCAACACACACAGGAGCAGCUAGACCCUGUUGGGGAGCAGCCUCCGUCCAUGCUGCUGGACCAGAGUCAGGAACAAACCUGAAAAACCUCUUCCGGGGCAGUGGACGUAGCCCUGGAAUAAGGAACCUGAAAUUCCCUCCUUCAAUUGAAGACCUCCAGGACUACCAGCGGUACCAUGAGGGCAGCUGCCCCCCUUCCAAGCAGCUGGAAAAUGCACAGUCCAAAGUGUCGAGGGUCAGGUCUUUUAUAUUUUACCUGGCAAAGGGACAGACUGUAUUGUUCAGAUUGAUGGCAUCCAAAAAUACACAGCCCACCUCCAGUCCCCAGGCAAGACCAUCACAACGGCACAUUUCUACUUGAGAACCAUACAGCAGUUCCUCAAAUACUUUCUGGAAACCCUGCCUGCCCAGUCUCACCUG